RNAcentral lists this ribosomal RNA (251 nucleotides) under uncultured prokaryote. Its description in RNAcentral is "partial 16S ribosomal RNA". It matches the Rfam family "Bacterial small subunit ribosomal RNA", at positions 524 to 774 of the family's 1533-position model. The record is from RNAcentral.
UACGGAGGAUGCGAGCGUUAUCCGGACUUAUUGGGUUUAAAGGGUGCGUAGGCGGCUUAGUAAGUCAGCGGUGAAAUUUUGCAGCUUAACUGUAACAGUGCCGUUGAUACUGCCAGGCUAGGAUUUGGUUGCUGUGGGUGGAAUGUGUGGUGUAGCGGUGAAAUGCUUAGAUAUCACACAGAAUAUCGAUUGCGAAGGCAGCUCACAAAGCCAAGAUUGACGCUGAGGCACGAAAGUGUGGGGAUCAAACA